RNAcentral lists this ribosomal RNA (1257 nucleotides) under Aegorhinus superciliosus. Its description in RNAcentral is "16S ribosomal RNA". The stretch from base 572 to 1257 matches the Rfam family "Archaeal large subunit ribosomal RNA", at positions 1423 to 2849 of the family's 2987-position model. Lineage: Eukaryota; Metazoa; Arthropoda; Insecta; Coleoptera; Curculionidae. The record is from RNAcentral.
AUAAAAUUUAUUAUUUAGAGGGUUAAUUUAUAUGAUUUGUAAAAUAAGAAUAUUUACUUUUAUUAAUAAAUUUGAAUAAAUAUAUUAUAAUUAUAGAGUAUUAGUAUUGUGAAAGAAAUUAUUUUAUAUAUAAAAAGAAUAAUUGAUUAUUUGUACCUUGUGUAUCAGGGCUUAUUAAUUAUUUAUUUAAGUUUAAUUUAUCUCGAAUUAAUAAGAGUUACUGCUAUAUUUAUUUAUUUUGUAGAAAAAAAUUAUUAAUAUAGAGGUAGAGGUGAAACAUUAUUCGGUUAUUAGUAUAUCUAGUUUUUUAAGAAAAAAAUUUAAUUUUUUAUUAAUAAUUAUUUUAUUAAUUUAUUAAUUUUAUAUUAAUUAAUAUAAAAUAUUUUAAGGGAUAAGCUUUAAAAUAAAAGUUUUUAAGAUUUUUCAAGUUUUAAUUAAGUAGGAUUGUAAGUUUUUAUCUUUAAAAUUGUGUUGUGUAAAUUAAAAUUUUUAAUAUUUAUUAAAAUAAUUUAAUUAAUAAAAAAUUAAAUGUAAUAAUGAUAGGAUUAGUAUAGAAUUUUGUUUGUUAAUUUAAAAUAAAAUAGGUUAAGUAAAGGAAUUCGGCAAAUAAUUUUCCACCUGUUUAUUAAAAACAUGGCCUUUUGAUUAUAAUUUAAGGUCUGGCCUGCCCUAUGAAUUUUAAAUGGCCGCAGUAUACUGACUGUGCAAAGGUAGCAUAAUCAUUAGUUUUUUAAUUGAAAGCUGGAAUGAAAGGUUGAAUGAGAAAAUAGCUGUCUCUAUUUAAAUUUUUUAUAAAUUUAUUUUUAGGUAAAAAAGCUUAAAUUAAAUUAGAAGACGAGAAGACCCUAUAGAGUUUUAUUUAUUUAAUAAAUAAAUAUUUUAGUAUUUAAUUUUUAUUUAUUAAAUAAAUUUAAUUGGGGUGAUUUAAAAAUUUGAUUAACUUUUUAUAAAAUUAUACAUUGAUUUUUGAAUUUAUGAUCCUUAAAUAAAGAUUAAAAGAUAAAAUUACCUUAGGGAUAACAGCGUAAUUUUCUUAAAGAGUUCUAAUCGAAAGGAAAGAUUGCGACCUCGAUGUUGGAUUAAAAUAAAAUUUUGGUGUAGAAGCUAAGAUAUUUAGGUCUGUUCGACCUUUAAAAUUUUACAUGAUCUGAGUUUAAACCGGUGUGAGCCAGGUUGGUUUCUAUCUCUAUUUAAAUGAAAUAUUUUAGUACGAAAGGACCAAAUAUUUGAUUAAAAAUUUUAUUUUUGAAUGGAAUU